Molecule: small RNA, 764 nt
Filed under: Pongo abelii (Sumatran orangutan)
Lineage: Eukaryota; Metazoa; Chordata; Mammalia; Primates; Hominidae
Description: retained intron
Source: RNAcentral
UGUUUUUCUCACUUGCUUUUUCUCCCGCUUUGUCAUUGUAGGAGAAAACCAAAGAACUAGCAGAGAAGCAGGCGCAACUCCAGGAGCCCAUCUCGCUGGCCAGCUGCGCCAUGGCUGAUCUGGUUCCAGACUUGCAGCCCAUUCUUUUCUGGAUGUCUAACUCCAUCGAGCUCCUGUACUUUAUCCAGCAGAAAUGCCCACUCUACAUGCAGAGCAUGGAGGAGCAGCUGGACAUCACAGGCUCGAAGGAGUCGCUGUUCUCCUGCACGCUGACGGCCAGUGAGGAGGCCAUGGCGGUGCUGGAGGAGGUGGUGCUGUACGCCUUCCAGCAGUGCGUCUACUACGUCUCCAAGUCCCUGUACAUCUGCCUCCCGGCACUCCUGGAGUGCCCGCCGUUCCAGACGGAGCGCCGUGAGAGCUGGUCCUCAGCCCCUGAACUGCCCGAGGAGCUGCGCCGCGUGGUGUCCGUGUACCAGGCAGCCCUGGACCUCCUGCGGCAGCUGCAGGUGCACCCCGAGGUGGCCUCGCAGAUGCUCGCCUACCUCUUCUUCUUCUCCGGGACACUGCUCCUCAACCAGCUCCUCGACAGGGGCCCCUCCCUGAGCUGCUUCCACUGGCCCAGAGGUGUCCAGGCCUGCGCCCGCCUGCAGCAGCUCCUGGAGUGGAUGCGGAGCGCCGGCUUCGGGGCGGCGGGAGAGCACUUCUUCCGGAAGCUCUCCUGCACCCUCAAUCUGCUGGCCACACCCAGGGCCCAGCUCAUCCAG